This 253-nucleotide ribosomal RNA is filed under the name uncultured bacterium. RNAcentral's name for it is "partial 16S ribosomal RNA". It matches the Rfam family "Bacterial small subunit ribosomal RNA", at positions 524 to 776 of the family's 1533-position model. The record is from RNAcentral.
UACGGAGGGGACUAGCGUUGUUCGGAAUUACUGGGCGUAAAGCGCACGUAGGCGGAUUUGUAAGUCAGGGGUGAAAUCCCGGGGCUCAACCUCGGAACUGCCUCUGAUACAGCAAGUCUUGAGUCCGGAAGAGGUGGGUGGAAUUCCUAGUGUAGAGGUGAAAUUCGUAGAUAUUAGGAAGAACACCGGUGGCGAAGGCGGCCCACUGGUCCGGUACUGACGCUGAGGUGCGAAAGCGUGGGGAGCAAACAGG